Molecule: unclassified non-coding RNA, 391 nt
Filed under: Hevea brasiliensis (rubber tree)
Lineage: Eukaryota; Viridiplantae; Streptophyta; Magnoliopsida; Malpighiales; Euphorbiaceae
Source: RNAcentral
GGCGGGUUGGGAGCAUAAUUAGAUACUCUCUGAGCCAUUUGUUCACCGAUUUAGCUUAUCCCGGAGAUUCUAUUAAAUUAUGAGGGGCGUUACUCCGCCGCAGAAGUUUUCCGUUCCGUCGCCGGACGAUGACGCCGAUAUAAUCCGACCCAACACCGUCAUCCCCGGCGGCGUAACCGUGGGCGCUGCUAUGCGAAAGAAGGCCACCGGGGUACGUUCAUGGCUUCUGUUGGAUUCAACUGGACAGACCCAAGUUGUGGAAGCCGGGAAACAUGCAAUUAUGCGGCGGACUGGACUUCCGGCUCGUGAUCUUCGCAUAUUGGACCCACUUCUCUCGUAUCCAUCUACUGUGUUGGGUCGUGAACGGGCUAUCGUCAUCAAUUUGGAGCAU